RNAcentral lists this ribosomal RNA (558 nucleotides) under uncultured archaeon. RNAcentral describes it as "bacterial SSU rRNA". It matches the Rfam family "Archaeal small subunit ribosomal RNA", at positions 321 to 879 of the family's 1478-position model. The record is from RNAcentral.
CCCUACGGGGUGCAGCAGGCGCGAAACCUUUACAAUGUGCGAAAGCAUGAUAAGGGAACUCCGAGUGCCAGUAUCUAAUACUGGCUGUCCUUGUGCCUAAAACGCACAAGAUAGCAAGGGCCGGGUAAGACCGGUGCCAGCCGCCGCGGUAACACCGGCGGCCCGAGUGGUAGCCGCUAUUAUUGGGUCUAAAGGGUCCGUAGCCGGUUCGAUAAGUCCUCUGGGAAAUCUGGUUGCUUAACAAUCAGACUGCCAAGGGAUACUGUCGAACUUGAGACCGGGAGAGGUAAGAGGUACUUCAGGGGUAGGAGUGAAAUCUUGUAAUCCCUGGGGGACCAUCUGUGGCGAAGGCGUCUUACCAGAACGGGUCUGACGGUGAGGGACGAAAGCUGGGGGCGCAAACCGGAUUAGAUGCUCGGGUAGUCCCAGCCGUAAACGAUGCUCGCUAUGUGUCAGGUACGGUGUGACCGUAUCUGGUGCCGUAGGGAAGCCGUGAAGCGAGCCACCUGGGAAGUACGGCCGCAAGGCUGAAACUUAAAGGAAUUGGCGGGGGAGCAC